GCACUACUGUGGAGUCCAACAAUAGGACGUAACGGACGUCUAGUGC
Molecule: non-coding RNA, 46 nt
Filed under: Schistosoma margrebowiei
Lineage: Eukaryota; Metazoa; Platyhelminthes; Trematoda; Strigeidida; Schistosomatidae
Source: RNAcentral